Molecule: ribosomal RNA, 253 nt
Filed under: uncultured bacterium
Lineage: Bacteria
Description: partial 16S ribosomal RNA
Rfam family: Bacterial small subunit ribosomal RNA
Source: RNAcentral
UACGGAGGGUGCAAGCGUUAUCCGGAUUUACUGGGUUUAAAGGGUGCGUAGGUGGGUCUGUAAGUCAGUGGUGAAAUCUCCGGGCUUAACUCGGAAACUGCCAUUGAUACUAUAGAUCUUGAAUUAUCUGGAGGUGAGCGGAAUAUGUCAUGUAGCGGUGAAAUGCUUAGAUAUGACAUAGAACACCAAUUGCGAAGGCAGCUCACUACGGAUUGAUUGACACUGAGGCACGAAAGCGUGGGGAUCAAACAGG